This 2014-nucleotide long non-coding RNA is filed under the name Homo sapiens (human). RNAcentral's name for it is "long non-coding RNA NONHSAT238694". Lineage: Eukaryota; Metazoa; Chordata; Mammalia; Primates; Hominidae. The record is from RNAcentral.
AGAAAUGUCAGCCUUUUCAAUGUAAUCUAUCUGAACAAUUCACUGGCAUUUCAGAUGGGAAAUGUUUUUUUAAAAACUGAUUUUUUGAAACUUCAUCUCCUAUCCCAAACUCUCAGGCCUCUCUCUUAACCUUCCAAUUUUAAUCAAUGGCAUUUCCAUUCUCCUAGCAGACCACCCACCGUGAUCAUCUGGCUUUGUUCUUACGGAAGCCAGGUUGAAGCUACCCAGUACCCAAGUAGCCCCAUCCAAUGGGAAAUUCCAAAUCAAGGCCUCCAAAGAGAUAAGUCCUGGAAUACAGGAGUCAAAAUGGGCCCCGAAACAGACAAUUCACAAUUAAAUUCCCCAGAAGAGCAGGAAGUUUGCCCUCGAGGUGCAGGCUUGUAGAGAUUACUCAAAUGGACUAAACUGUACAAAAGGCAGCCAUGGACAAGUUACAGGUCCAUUGUAUCAGUAUCCGUCCUUGACUCUGUAUCCAAAGCAGAGUCUUCUAUGUGGGCAGGGUAAAAAGAGGCUUCCCCAGAAUCAAACAGUCCUGAUCACAAUAUCUCCCUGCCCUCAGAUUUGCUAAUCAGAAAACCACCCCUACACAGUUGCAAAGACACCUCCCCCAAGGCCUUCGCCAGCCCUGAGGGCACCUCCACAGUGAAACAUGUCCUUUUGGCUUUCCAGCUUGAUUCCCAAAAGCCAGUCAAACCAGGGUGGAAGCCUCCACUGUGUUCUACAUCCCGUGCAGUGAGUGGAGCUUUGUGAAGUUGCCUUAGAUUGCUAAGGGCAGAACUGUGCCCAGACAGAAAUAGGCAAACCGAAUUUCUCUUGUGUUCCCUUACUCUUUUUCAUGACUGCUCUCAUUCUGCUCUCUUCUCCACUAGCCCGGGUGUCUGGGACGCUUGCGUCGUUUCUAGGCUCUCCCAAAAGAGUCUCGUAUCCAGCCCUUCCCUCCCUGAGAAUCGCCCCAGUCUAUUUGUCCUUCUCCCCUCCCCUAGUUCUGUUAAAAAUGACCUCAUUUGUGUCUCAUUCUGAUCAGGUCUUGGGCUCUUCUUUACAAAGUGGCAAUCCUAGUCUGUCAACUGACUCGUGUUCAUGGGUUUAUACCCUCUUCCCAGCCAGGUCACCCCUGAGCUUAAACAUGGCCUCAUGAAAACCAGGUCCCCAUGAUCACCCUAAGGUAACCUACAAAGCUCUAGCCCUGGAAGGCAGGAAGAUGACUGCUGGGAGACAUAUUUUAAGAGUGACACGUCAGAGGCAGCUCUCGACUUUUUAAAAAAGUGCCAUGUUCUCUAUUGUUACACUCUAUGAUUACUGUACUAAGGGCCCAUCCUGACUUCUCUGGAAUUUUCUGCAAAUAUGUAGUUCUGGUGUAACUUCAGCAGGGGUAAAAAUUCAAUGGUACAUAACUGACAAUUUAUCAAAUUAAGAAAUAGAACAUGCAAGUUUUUCUUAUAAGAAUUUUGUAACGUAAAUGGUCAUUGUGCUAAUUCAGACCUCAACUUCUCUGCUGCUAUAAAGUCUCCAACAGAAAAAGCCAGUAAUGGUCAUAAAACUGAUCAUGUUUUUUGAUUCAGGAAAUCCUUUUUUGAACAAUAACAUACAAAGACGAAAAGUAAACAAAGCUGCCUGUUUGAAUAUAAACACAUAUGCAGACAAAAAAAACAAAUAAAUGGGUUAGAGAAACAACAACAAAAAAAUUACAUCCAUGGAGGUAAAGGGAGGAUUGUUGCGUUAAUUGUAACUCAAACCUCUUAACACUUGAGGAAUGAUUAAGCAAGCUAGGGUGUCGUUACUGGGUAUAUUUGAUGGUGUACAAUAGUAUAUGUUACUUAGAUAUUAAAUGAAAUGUGUAUACUAUGUAGAUUUAUAGAGACGUUUAUAGUAAAUAAGGUUCUGUGAAAAUAAUAUGACUCAAAAUGUUAAAUAGGAUAAGCAAUAUAAAUGUGUCACAACGCCCUGGAGUGCAGGCUGAUCCCUGGAGACCAGUACUGAGUCAUCUGGUCUGCUCAAGGGCCAAUUAAGGAAA